This 467-nucleotide ribosomal RNA is filed under the name uncultured bacterium. RNAcentral's name for it is "partial 16S ribosomal RNA". It matches the Rfam family "Bacterial small subunit ribosomal RNA", at positions 29 to 507 of the family's 1533-position model. The record is from RNAcentral.
ACGCACGCUGGCGGCGUGCUUAACACCUGCAAGUCGAACGGAAAGGCCCUGCUUUUGUGGGGUGCUCGAGUGGCGAACGGGUGAUUAACACGUGAGUAACCUGCCCUUGACUUUGGGAUAACUUCAGGAAACUGGGGCUAAUACCGGAUAGGAGCUCCUGCUGCAUGGUGGGGGUUGGAAAGUUUCGGCGGUUGGGGAUGGGCUCGCGGCUUAUCAGCUUGUUGGUGGGGUAGUGGCUUACCAAGGCUUUGACGGGUAGCCGGCCUGAGAGGGUGACCGGCCACAUUGGGACUGAGAUACGGCCCAGACUCCUACGGGAGGCAGCAGUGGGGAAUAUUGCACAAUGGGCGGAAGCCUGAUGCAGCAACGCCGCGUGCGGGAUGACGGCCUUCGGGUUGUAAACCGCUUUCGCCUGUGACGAAGCGUGAGUGACGGUAAUGGGUAAAGAAGCACCGGCUAACUACGUG